Molecule: ribosomal RNA, 350 nt
Filed under: uncultured alga
Lineage: Eukaryota
Description: eukaryotic LSU rRNA
Rfam family: 5.8S ribosomal RNA (bases 1-105)
Source: RNAcentral
GAAAUGCGAUACGUAGUGUGAAUUGCAGAAUUCCGUGAACCAUCGAAUUUUUGAACGCAUAUUGCGCUCAAGGCUUCGGCCAAGAGCAUGUCUGCCUCAGCGUCGGGUUAAUAUCGCUCCCCACUCACCCUGUGUGUAUGGGUUAGCGGAUCUGGCUGUUCCAGCUAGGCACGUACACUUGUGUACAUAUGUGCUCUGGAUCAGCUGAAGUACAGAGGCUAACCAAGGACCCGUCAAGGGCCGCAACUGGGUAGGCAACUUGUUGCUAUUCUUAGUUGUUGGUCUGGGACCCUGUGUUUGGCCCUCUAACCAGGAAUUAACCCUUCAUUUUCUCGACCUGAGCUCAGGCA